AUUGAACGCUGGCGGCAUGCCUUACACAUGCAAGUCGAACGGCAGCACGGGAGCUUGCUCCUGGUGGCGAGUGGCGAACGGGUGAGUAAUACAUCGGAACGUACCCUGAAGGGGGGGAUAACGUAGCGAAAGUUACGCUAAUACCGCAUAUUCUGUGAGCAGGAAAGAGGGGGAUCGCAAGACCUCUUGCUUUAGGAGCGGCCGAUGUCGGAUUAGCUAGUUGGUGAGGUAAAGGCUCACCAAGGCGACGAUCCGUAGCGGGUCUGAGAGGAUGAUCCGCCACACUGGGACUGAGACACGGCCCAGACUCCUACGGGAGGCAGCAGUGGGGAAUUUUGGAUAAUGGGCGCAAGCCUGAUCCAGCCAUGCCGCGUGAGUGAAGAAGGCCUUCGGGUUGUAAAGACUCUUUCGGUUCGGGAAGGAAAGUUAGCUUCCGGUUUAAGUACCUGGAGUAG
RNAcentral lists this ribosomal RNA (455 nucleotides) under uncultured bacterium. RNAcentral describes it as "bacterial SSU rRNA". It matches the Rfam family "Bacterial small subunit ribosomal RNA", at positions 30 to 490 of the family's 1533-position model. The record is from RNAcentral.